GCUGAAUUCGUCUAACGGUUAGGACGGCAGAUUCUCAUUCUGCAAAUAGGGGUUCGAUUCCCCUAUUCAGUAC
This 73-nucleotide transfer RNA is filed under the name Bacteroidia bacterium. RNAcentral describes it as "tRNA-Glu". It matches the Rfam family "tRNA". From Rfam's summary of the family: Transfer RNA (tRNA) molecules are approximately 80 nucleotides in length. Their secondary structure includes four short double-helical elements and three loops (D, anti-codon, and T loops). Lineage: Bacteria; Pseudomonadati; Bacteroidota; Bacteroidia. The record is from RNAcentral.